AGUGAGGUCUCGGUUGAAUUUACUAUUUACCCGAUCCCCGUGGAGAAAACCAAUGCAAUUGCCACGCAACCGAUAACACUGGGCUGUUGAAACGACUGUCUCACGGUCUACACAGCGAAGUACCUGAAUGCGAGAAAUUCUCGAAUCUCGAUUUUCUUCGGGACAUGAUUCAAAGAAAAUCUAGAAAAUGAUGUACUACAGCUAUCGAAAUCGAAUAAAUCAAUAAAUAACUUUUACUUUUA
Fopius arisanus is the source of this 242-nucleotide long non-coding RNA. RefSeq lists it as uncharacterized. Lineage: Eukaryota; Metazoa; Arthropoda; Insecta; Hymenoptera; Braconidae. The transcript has 2 exons. The record is from RefSeq and is a predicted model, not a curated record.